AGGGGGACUUGGUCGUCGAGUGCCUGGAACUGAUCUCGGCCAGGCACUCCCACGAACACCGGUCACCAUGGACUCACGGCUCGUUCUAGUUCCAGUUCACCUAUACGAACGGCGUUCAGGAGUUACAGACUAACGAACAUGGGGAGCAUUCUACACAAACCAGUUUUCCUUUAUCUUAUGUGGUUUUCGUACAAAACCCCGCGAACGAAGACCGGCUCUUGCCACCAUUUCCAUGGAACUAUUUUGGGCU
This is a non-coding RNA of Pelobates cultripes (western spadefoot toad), 250 nucleotides long. Lineage: Eukaryota; Metazoa; Chordata; Amphibia; Anura; Pelobatidae. The record is from the annotation of a GenBank genome assembly.